UGGGGAAUUUUGGACAAUGGGCGAAAGCCUGAUCCAGCAAUGCCGCGUGUGUGAAGAAGGCCUUCGGGUUGUAAAGCACUUUUGUCCGGAAAGAAAUCCUUGGCUCUAAUACAGUCGGGGGAUGACGGUACCGGAAGAAUAAGCACCGGCUAACUACGUGCCAGCAGCCGCGGUAAUACGUAGGGUGCAAGCGUUAAUCGGAAUUACUGGGCGUAAAGCGUGCGCAGGCGGUUUGCUAAGACCGAUGUGAAAUCCCCGGGCUCAACCUGGGAACUGCAUUGGUGACUGGCAGGCUAGAGUAUGGCAGAGGGGGGUAGAAUUCCACGUGUAGCAGUGAAAUGCGUAGAGAUGUGGAGGAAUACCGAUGGCGAAGGCAGCCCCCUGGGCCAAAUACUGACGCUCAUGCACGAAAGCGUGGGGAGCAAACAGGAUUAGAUACCCUGGUAGUCCACGCCCUAAACGAUGUCAACUAGUUGUUGGGGAUUCAUUUCCUAGUAACGUAGCUAACGCGUGAAGUUGACCGCCUGGGGAGUACGGUCGCAAGAUUAAAACUCAAAGGAAUUGACGGGGUC
This 572-nucleotide ribosomal RNA is filed under the name uncultured bacterium. Its description in RNAcentral is "partial 16S ribosomal RNA". It matches the Rfam family "Bacterial small subunit ribosomal RNA", at positions 355 to 920 of the family's 1533-position model. The record is from RNAcentral.